AGCGAACGCUGGCCGCAGGCCUAACACAUGCAAGUCGAACGAACUCUUCGGAGUUAGUGGCGGACGGGUGAGUAACACGUGGGAACGUGCCUUUAGGUUCGGAAUAACUCAGGGAAACUUGUGCUAAUACCGAAUGUGCCCUUCGGGGGAAAGAUUUAUCGCCUUUAGAGCGGCCCGCGUCUGAUUAGCUAGUUGGUGAGGUAAAGGCUCACCAAGGCGACGAUCAGUAGCUGGUCUGAGAGGAUGAUCAGCCACAUUGGGACUGAGACACGGCCCAAACUCCUACGGGAGGCAGCAGUGGGGAAUCUUGCGCAAUGGGCGAAAGCCUGACGCAGCCAUGCCGCGUGAAUGAUGAAGGUCUUAGGAUUGUAAAAUUCUUUCACCGGGGACGAUAAUGACGGUACCCGGAGAAGAAGCCCCGGCUAACUUCGUG
RNAcentral lists this ribosomal RNA (433 nucleotides) under uncultured bacterium. RNAcentral describes it as "partial 16S ribosomal RNA". It matches the Rfam family "Bacterial small subunit ribosomal RNA", at positions 29 to 507 of the family's 1533-position model. The record is from RNAcentral.